GUGGCUCAGUGGCAGAGCACUUGCCUAGCAUGUAUGAGGCACUGGGUUCAAUUCUCAGC
RNAcentral lists this transfer RNA (59 nucleotides) under Ictidomys tridecemlineatus (thirteen-lined ground squirrel). Its description in RNAcentral is "Spermophilus tridecemlineatus (thirteen-lined ground squirrel) tRNA". It matches the Rfam family "tRNA", at positions 7 to 64 of the family's 71-position model. From Rfam's summary of the family: Transfer RNA (tRNA) molecules are approximately 80 nucleotides in length. Their secondary structure includes four short double-helical elements and three loops (D, anti-codon, and T loops). The record is from Rfam by way of RNAcentral. Lineage: Eukaryota; Metazoa; Chordata; Mammalia; Rodentia; Sciuridae.